This 468-nucleotide ribosomal RNA is filed under the name uncultured bacterium. RNAcentral's name for it is "partial 16S ribosomal RNA". It matches the Rfam family "Bacterial small subunit ribosomal RNA", at positions 28 to 507 of the family's 1533-position model. The record is from RNAcentral.
GACGAACGCUGGCGGCGUGCUUAACACAUGCAAGUCGAACGGAAAGGCCCUGCUUUUGUGGGGUGCUCGAGUGGCGAACGGGUGAGUAACACGUGAGUAACCUGCCCUUGACUUUGGGAUAACUUCAGGAAACUGGGGCUAAUACCGGAUAGGAGCUCCUGCUGCAUGGUGGGGGUUGGAAAGUUUCGGCGGUUGGGGCUGGACUCGCGGCUUAUCAGCUUGUUGGUGGGGUAGUGGCUUACCAAGGCUUUGACGGGUAGCCGGCCUGAGAGGGUGACCGGCCACAUUGGGACUGAGAUACGGCCCAGACUCCUACGGGAGGCAGCAGGGGGGAAUAUUGCACAAUGGGCGGAAGCCUGAUGCAGCAACGCCGCGUGCGGGAUGACGGCCUUCGGGUUGUAAACCGAUUUCGCCUGUGACGAAGCGUGAGUGACGGUAAUGGGUAAAGAAGCACCGGCUAACUACGUG